AUUGAACGCUGGCGGCAGGCUUAACACAUGCAAGUCGAGCGGGGAAAGGUAGCUUGCUACCUGACCUAGCGGCGGACGGGUGAGUAAUGCUUAGGAAUCUGCCUAUUAGUGGGGGACAACAUCUCGAAAGGGAUGCUAAUACCGCAUACGUCCUACGGGAGAAAGCAGGGGACCUUCGGGCCUUGCGCUAAUAGAUGAGCCUAAGUCGGAUUAGCUAGUUGGUGGGGUAAAGGCCUACCAAGGCGACGAUCUGUAGCGGGUCUGAGAGGAUGAUCCGCCACACUGGGACUGAGACACGGCCCAGACUCCUACGGGAGGCAGCAGUGGGGAAUAUUGGACAAUGGGGGGAACCCUGAUCCAGCCAUGCCGCGGGUGUGAAGAAGGCCUUUUGGUUGUAAAGCACGUUAAGCGAGGAGGAGGCUACCGAGAUUAAUACUCUUGGAUAGUGGACGUUACUCGCAGAAUAAGCACCGGCUAACUCUGUG
This 485-nucleotide ribosomal RNA is filed under the name uncultured bacterium. RNAcentral describes it as "partial 16S ribosomal RNA". It matches the Rfam family "Bacterial small subunit ribosomal RNA", at positions 30 to 507 of the family's 1533-position model. The record is from RNAcentral.